AUCACUUCUCGGCCUUUUGGCUAAGAUCCAAUUGGUAUCUGUUCUUAAUCAGUUUAAUAUCUGAUACGUCCUCUAACUGAGGACAAUAUGUUAAAAGGAUUUUUGGAGCAGGGAGUUGGAAUAGGGGAUCAACCUGAUAUUGCACUACUUCCAGGAAUAGUGUACCCUCA
Molecule: small nuclear RNA, 170 nt
Filed under: Erinaceus europaeus (western European hedgehog)
Lineage: Eukaryota; Metazoa; Chordata; Mammalia; Eulipotyphla; Erinaceidae
Description: U2 spliceosomal RNA
Rfam family: U2 spliceosomal RNA
About the family: U2 is a small nuclear RNA (snRNA) component of the spliceosome (involved in pre-mRNA splicing). Complementary binding between U2 snRNA (in an area lying towards the 5' end but 3' to hairpin I) and the branchpoint sequence (BPS) of the intron results the bulging out of an unpaired adenosine, on the BPS, which initiates a nucleophilic attack at the intronic 5' splice site, thus starting the first of two transesterification reactions that mediate splicing.
Source: Rfam by way of RNAcentral